RNAcentral lists this ribosomal RNA (468 nucleotides) under uncultured bacterium. RNAcentral describes it as "partial 16S ribosomal RNA". It matches the Rfam family "Bacterial small subunit ribosomal RNA", at positions 28 to 507 of the family's 1533-position model. The record is from RNAcentral.
GACGAACGCUGGCGGCGUGCUUAACACAUGCAAGUCGAACGGAAAGGCCCUGCUUUUGUGGGGUGCUCGAGUGGCGAACGGGUGAGUAACACGUGAGUAACCUGCCCUUGACUUUGGGAUAACUUCAGGAAACUGGGGCUAAUGCCGGAUAGGAGCUCCUGCUGCAUGGUGGGGGUUGGAAAGUUUCGGCGGUUGGGGAUGGACUCGCGGCUUAUCAGCUUGUUGGUGGGGUAGUGGCUUACCAAGGCUUUGACGGGUAGCCGGCCUGAGAGGGUGACCGGCCACAUUGGGACUGAGAUACGGCCCAGACUCCUACGGGAGGCAGCAGUGGGGAAUAUUGCACAAUGGGCGGAAGCCUGAUGCAGCAACGCCGCGUGCGGGAUGACGGCCUUCGGGUUGUAAACCACUUUCGCCUGUGACGAAGCGUGAGUGACGGUAAUGGGUAAAGAAGCACCGGCUAACUACGUG